AACGAACGCUGGCGGCAGGCCUAACACAUGCAAGUCGAGCGCCCUUUCGGGGGCGCGGCGGACGGGUGAGUAACGCGUGGGAAUAUGCCCUUCUCUACGGAAUAGCCUCGGGAAACUGAGAGUAAUACCGUAUACGCCCUUUGGGGGAAAGAUUUAUCGGGGAAGGAUUAGCCCGCGUUGGAUUAGGUAGUUGGUGGGGUAAUGGCCUACCAAGCCGACGAUCCAUAGCUGGUUUGAGAGGAUGAUCAGCCACACUGGGACUGAGACACGGCCCAGACUCCUACGGGAGGCAGCAGUGGGGAAUCUUAGACAAUGGGGGCAACCCUGAUCGAGCCAUGCCGCGUGAGUGAUGAAGGCCUUAGGGUUGUAAAGCUCUUUCAGCUGGGAAGAUAAUGACGGUGCCAGCAGAAGAAGCCCCGGCUAACUCCGUG
This 431-nucleotide ribosomal RNA is filed under the name uncultured bacterium. RNAcentral describes it as "partial 16S ribosomal RNA". It matches the Rfam family "Bacterial small subunit ribosomal RNA", at positions 29 to 507 of the family's 1533-position model. The record is from RNAcentral.